Long non-coding RNA from Oncorhynchus tshawytscha (Chinook salmon), 332 nucleotides. NCBI's taxonomy places the organism in Eukaryota, Metazoa, Chordata, Actinopteri, Salmoniformes, Salmonidae. The record is from Ensembl.
AAGGAGAGAGGUAAAGAGGGAGAGAAGGAGAGAGGUAAAGAGGGAGAGAAGGAGAGAGGUAAAGAGGGAGAGAAGGAGAGAGGUAAAGAGGGAGAGAAGGAGAGAGGUAAAGAGGGAGAGAAGGAGAGGGGUAUUGGGAGAGAAGGAGAGAGGUAAAGAGGGAUAGAAGGAGAGAGUUAAAGAGGGAGAGAAGGAGAGAGGUAAAGAUGGAGAGGAGAGAGGUAAAGAGGGAGAGAAGGAGAGAGGUAAAUAGGGAGAGAAGGAGAAAGGUAAAAAGGGAGAGAAGGAGAGAGUUAAAGAGGGAGAGAAGGAGAGAGGUAAAGAGGGAGAGG